RNAcentral lists this ribosomal RNA (1439 nucleotides) under uncultured bacterium. Its description in RNAcentral is "bacterial SSU rRNA". It matches the Rfam family "Bacterial small subunit ribosomal RNA". The record is from RNAcentral.
AGGGUUUGAUCAUGGCUCAGAACGUACGCUGGCGGCACGCCUAAUACAUGCAAGUCGAACGAAGUAGUAAUACUUAGUGGCAGACGGGUGAGUAACAUGUAGGUAUCUUCCCUUUGGUGAGGAAUAACACGAGGAAACUUGUGCUAAUACCUCAUAAGUCUUUACGGAGAAAGCUUUAUGCGCCAUUGGAUGAGCCUGCACUUGAUUAGUUUGUUGGUGGGGUAAUGGCCUACCAAGACAAUGAUCAAUAGCUGAUUUGAGAGGAUGAUCAGCCACAUUGGGACUGAGACACGGCCCAAACUCCUACGGGAGGCAGCAGUGGGGAAUCUUGCACAAUGGAGGAAACUCUGAUGCAGCGAUGCCGCGUGAGUGAAGAAGGCCCUUGGGUUGUAAAGCUCUUUCGUCGGGGAAGAAAAUGACUGUACCCGAAUAAGAAGGUCCGGCUAACUUCGUGCCAGCAGCCGCGGUAAUACGAAGGGACCUAGCGUAGUUCGGAUUUACUGGGCUUAAAGAGUUCGUAGGUGGUUGAAAAAGUUGGUGGUGAAAUCCCAGAGCUUAACUCUGGAACUGCCAUCAAAACUUUUCAGCUAGAGUUUGAUAGAGGAAAGCAGAAUUUCUAGUGUAGAGGUGAAAUUCGUAGAUAUUAGAAAGAAUACCAAUUGCGAAGGCAGCUUUCUGGAUCAUUACUGACACUGAGGAACGAAAGCAUGGGUAGCGAAGAGGAUUAGAUACCCUCGUAGUCCAUGCCGUAAACGAUGUGUGUUAGACGUUGGAAAUUUAUUUUCAGUGUCGCAGCGAAAGCAAUAAACACACCGCCUGGGGAGUACGACCGCAAGGUUAAAACUCAAAUGAAUUGACGGGGACCCGCACAAGUAGUGGAGCAUGUGGUUUAAUUCGAAGAUACGCGCAGAACCUUACCAACACUUGACAUGUUCGUCGCGACUUUAAGAGAUUAAAGUUUUCGGUUCGGCCGGACGAAACACAGGUGCUGCAUGGCUGUCGUCAGCUCGUGUCGUGAGAUGUUGGGUUAAGUCCCGCAACGAGCGCAACCCUCACUUUUAGUUGCCAUCAUUAAGUUGGGCACUCUGAAAGAACUGCCAGUGAUAAGCUGGAGGAAGGUGGGGAUGACGUCAAGUCCUCAUGGCCCUUACGUGUUGGGCUACACACGUGCUACAAUGAUAUUUACAAAAGGAAGCAAAACGGCGACGUUUAGCAAAUCCUAAAAAAAUAUCUCAGUUCGGAUUGCACUCUGCAACUCGAGUGCAUGAAGCUGGAAUUACUAGUAAUCGUGGAUCAGCGUGCCACGGUGAAUGCGUUCCCGGGUCUUGUACACACCGCCCGUCACACCAUGGGAGUUGGUUCUACCUUAAGGCAAGGUUUAAAACCCUUGACCACGGUAUAGUCAGCGACUGGGGUGAAGUCGUAACAAGGUAGCCGUA